This 465-nucleotide ribosomal RNA is filed under the name Vreelandella stevensii. RNAcentral's name for it is "partial 16S ribosomal RNA". It matches the Rfam family "Bacterial small subunit ribosomal RNA", at positions 338 to 795 of the family's 1533-position model. Lineage: Bacteria; Pseudomonadati; Pseudomonadota; Gammaproteobacteria; Oceanospirillales; Halomonadaceae. The record is from RNAcentral.
CCUACGGGUGGCAGCAGUGGGGAAUAUUGGACAAUGGGGGCAACCCUGAUCCAGCCAUGCCGCGUGUGUGAAGAAGGCCCUCGGGUUGUAAAGCACUUUCAGUGAGGAAGAACGCCUGGUGGUUAAUACCCAUCAGGAAAGACAUCACUCACAGAAGAAGCACCGGCUAACUCCGUGCCAGCAGCCGCGGUAAUACGGAGGGUGCGAGCGUUAAUCGGAAUUACUGGGCGUAAAGCGCGCGUAGGUGGCUUGAUAAGCCGGUUGUGAAAGCCCCGGGCUCAACCUGGGAACGGCAUCCGGAACUGUCAAGCUAGAGUGCAGGAGAGGAAGGUAGAAUUCCCGGUGUAGCGGUGAACUGCGUAGAGAUCGGGAGGAAUACCAGUGGCGAAGGCGGCCUUCUGGACUGACACUGACACUGAGGUGCGAAAGCGUGGGUAGCAAACAGGAUUAGAUACCCGAGUAGUC